CGGGAUGUAGCGCAGUCUGGUUAGCGCGCCUGCUUCGGGAGCAGGAGGUCGGAAGUUCAAAUCUUCUCAUCCCGACCA
RNAcentral lists this transfer RNA (78 nucleotides) under Candidatus Zymogenus saltonus. Its description in RNAcentral is "tRNA-Pro". It matches the Rfam family "tRNA". From Rfam's summary of the family: Transfer RNA (tRNA) molecules are approximately 80 nucleotides in length. Their secondary structure includes four short double-helical elements and three loops (D, anti-codon, and T loops). The record is from RNAcentral. Lineage: Bacteria; Deltaproteobacteria; Candidatus Zymogeniales; Candidatus Zymogenaceae.